RNAcentral lists this long non-coding RNA (599 nucleotides) under Pan troglodytes (chimpanzee). Its description in RNAcentral is "long non-coding RNA NONPTRT005648". The record is from RNAcentral. Lineage: Eukaryota; Metazoa; Chordata; Mammalia; Primates; Hominidae.
AUUUUCUGAGAGGACACAUGAUGCACUCAGACUUGAAUGCAAGUCUUGCUUCCUCCUGACAUUUCAUCAAUCUCUAUGCAAAUGCUGACUGGCCCUACCUAAAACUUUGAGCUGAAAAUGGAAGACAGUAAGAGAAAAGAUCUAUGCAUAGAGAGGAGAAAAAGAAAACAGGAGAAACAGAAAAUCACAGAAAAGGAAAGGGAAGAUUUGGUGUGAAUCUGGGCAAUCCUACCAGGGAGAAAUCCAAGGUCAAAGUAAAACAAUGACUUAUAAUGAGAAACAGGAAGACUACACAGUCUUGUUCCUUAUCUACAUGGAAAACCACAAGUUGGCUGGCAUUGAGACACUCUCUACCUUCCUGUAAAUCCUGUAUUAAAACCAGUUCAAGAACCCUGGAGAAGUUUCCAGCUUCCUAAGAUCCUUAUUUCUUAUUAUCCUAUGUGAAAACUGAAAGUCAACAAUUUAUCUUGCCUACUCAUACUUUGAAGAAGUAAAUCUCAACCGAGAGAUACUUGAAAGUAGAGACAUUUUUUACUUACCACAUUUUCCUUAUCACAAUGUGAACUGAAAUCACUUGAUACAAUUGCAGCAUACUGGAG